CCUACGGGAGGCAGCAGUGAGGAAUAUUGGUCAAUGGGCGCGAGCCUGAACCAGCCAAGUAGCGUGAAGGAUGACUGCCCUACGGGUUGUACACUUCUUUUAUAAAGGAAUAAAGUGAGGCACGUGUGCCUUUUUGUAUGUACUUUAUGAAUAAGGAUCGGCUAACUCCGUGCCAGCAGCCGCGGUAAUAAGGAGGAUCCGAGCGUUAUCCGGAUUGAUGUGGUUUAAAUGGAGCGUAGAUGGGUUGUUAAGUCAGUUGUGAAAGUUUGCGGCUCAACCGUAAAAUUGCAAUGGAUACUGGCAGCCUUGAGUACAGUUGAGGUAGGCGGAAUUCGUGGUGUAGCGGUGAAAUGCUUAGAUAUCACGAAGAACUCCGAUUGCGAAGGCAGCUUACUAAACUGCCACUGACAUUGAUGCUCGAAAGUGUGGGUAUCAAACAGGAUUAGAUACCCCGGUAGUC
RNAcentral lists this ribosomal RNA (460 nucleotides) under uncultured bacterium. RNAcentral describes it as "partial 16S ribosomal RNA". It matches the Rfam family "Bacterial small subunit ribosomal RNA", at positions 338 to 795 of the family's 1533-position model. The record is from RNAcentral.